GACGAACGCUGGCGGCGUGCCUAAUACAUGCAAGUAGAACGCUGAAGGAGGAGCUUGCUCUUCUGGAUGAGUUGCGAACGGGUGAGUAACGCGUAGGUAACCUGCCUGGUAGCGGGGGAUAACUAUUGGAAACGAUAGCUAAUACCGCAUAACAGUAGAUGUUGCAUGACAUUUACUUAAAAGGUGCAAUUGCAUCACUACCAGAUGGACCUGCGUUGUAUUAGCUAGUUGGUGGGGUAACGGCUCACCAAGGCGACGAUACAUAGCCGACCUGAGAGGGUGAUCGGCCACACUGGGACUGAGACACGGCCCAGACUCCUACGGGAGGCAGCAGUAGGGAAUCUUCGGCAAUGGACGGAAGUCUGACCGAGCAACGCCGCGUGGGUGAAGAAGGUUUUCGGAUCGUAAAGCUCUGUUGUAAGAGAAGAACGAGUGUGAGAGUGGAAAGUUCACACUGUGACGGUAUCUUACCAGAAAGGGACGGCUAACUACGUG
This 495-nucleotide ribosomal RNA is filed under the name uncultured bacterium. Its description in RNAcentral is "partial 16S ribosomal RNA". It matches the Rfam family "Bacterial small subunit ribosomal RNA", at positions 28 to 507 of the family's 1533-position model. The record is from RNAcentral.